Molecule: non-coding RNA, 1350 nt
Organism: Mauremys reevesii (Reeves's turtle)
Lineage: Eukaryota; Metazoa; Chordata; Testudines; Geoemydidae
Source: the annotation of a RefSeq genome assembly
CUGUGGCUACGUUGUCUUUGCGUUAUGGCCUGGUGCAUCUUGUCAGGCUCCGUGGCAGCUGUCACUUUAACUCAGCCAGGUUCUGCCCGUGCAGAGCCAGGGAGUUCCAUUACCCUGGAUUGUGUCGUCUCUGGGUAUAACAUCGAUGACCAUCAUCUCCACUGGGUCCGUCAGGCCCCUGGGAAAGGUCUGGUCUGGGUCACAGCCUUCAGAACAGGUUUCACCACCAUCACCACUAACGAAUUCAAAGGCCGGGUCACCCCCUCCACCAGCGGCUCCACUGCCAGGCUAAAGAUGGACGGACUGACAGCUGCAGACACGGCUACCUACUACUGUGCACGAGAAACACAGUGCUCGCUUCCCAGCUUCCUCUCCUACAGUAACCUCUGGGGCAAGGGGUUCGUCUCAUUGAGCACAUCUCUCUGCAUGAAAUUCAGCCCUCUGCCACUGCCUGCACAUUGCAAGAGUCCCAAGGCAGCCCUCAAAAUGAGACCCUGGGGUUAAACAGGCCAUGGGAUGAGCCCCCUGCACAGGGUCAACUUCACCCUCAACAAUUAAUCUUGUGUCCUUACCAUAACAGACUGCCCGAGGCGGCACCGUGAUCUAUUGGCUAGCGCCCUGUGCUAGGAGUCCGGCUCGCUGAGUUCUGACCCAUUGCUCUGGGGUGUGGCCUGAGGUAAUUCACGACUACCUACCUGCCCCUUUCCUUUCCCACCCUCGGGGUCUCUUGUCGGUUUUAUAUGAUAAGCUCUUCAGAGCCAGGCCUGUUGCUUGCUGAGCUUAUGGGCCAUGCCAGUUUUGCCACAAGGAACAAUAGUAAUUAGUAGAUUCGUGUAUUUUAAGGCCAGAGAGGACCAUUAGAAUCAUCUACUCUAAUCGCCUGCGUAACACAGGCCAGAGAACGCAGCACAGCUAUUCCUGCACCAGCACCAGAGCUUGCGGCUGAGCGACUGCGCCGAUGUUAGAGAGCGUGGAAGAGGGAUUAAUGGAUUUUAAGGCCAGCAGGGACCAUGUAGUCUGACCUUCCACAGAGCACAGGCCAAAGAACUUCACCCGUCUGGCUGUCCUGUUGAAUUAUUUGUUGGCACAGAUAGCUAUUUCUACAUCAUUCCUCUAUCGUUAUUAAUGUGCACGCGGUGGCAGAGAAGUUCUCCAGGAUGGAUCUCUGGGAUUUCAGGGGCUGUCAUCGCUGCGAACCACGUGCCCUUUCCAUUUCAUUCCACGUCACAGCUGAAAUUCUGAACUUCCCCCAUUGACUGCCAUCUUCGUAACCAGCACUGUCCAGAAGGAGAAAAGAUAUUCACAAAUAUUAUUCUGUUUUUGUACUGUAACAUUUUGGAAGGAUGAAUA